Molecule: ribosomal RNA, 389 nt
Filed under: uncultured bacterium
Lineage: Bacteria
Description: bacterial SSU rRNA
Rfam family: Bacterial small subunit ribosomal RNA
Source: RNAcentral
GAUGAACGCUAGCGGCAGGCUUAAUACAUGCAAGUCGAGGGGCAGCAUGAGUAGCAAUACUUGAUGGCGACCGGCAAACGGGUGCGGAACACGUACAGAACCUUCCUUCGAGCGGGGAAUAGCCCGGAGAAAUCCGGAUUAAUACCCCAUAGUAAAUUGAAAAGGCAUCUUUUAAUUUUAAAGUAUUAUCACUUGAAGAUGGCUGUGCGCCUGAUUAGGUAGUUGGCGGGGUAACGGCCCACCAAGCCUUCGAUCAGUAACUGGUGUGAGAGCACGACCAGUCACACGGGCACUGAGACACGGGCCCGACUCCUACGGGAGGCAGCAGUAAGGAAUAUUGGUCAAUGGACGCAAGUCUGAACCAGCCAUGCCGCGUGGAGGAUGAAGGU